GGUUGUGUUAGGAAGUUACGGGUAUAUGAGAGCAGAAAGAGGAGUUAGUUAGCCUAACUGAUGUAGCAGUUAGGAGAGGCGGGAUAAGUGGUAUAAAAGAGUCGAGUAAUUGUUUAGGGAGGCAGUUAGUUGUUUUGUUAGUUUGUACAGGACGUAUUAUUCCUGUAAGGGGGAGGUUAAGCUCUCUUGCUGUCUACAAGCAUUGUAUUCUUUGUUGUGCAUAAUACUAUGAGAGGUUAUACAGAGGUUUCUGGUGUUUUACGCGUGUGUUGCUUUAGGUUUCUUUAUUAAGAACCUAACAUUUGGUCGACCUGCCGGAUCAAGAAAGGGGUUGACGGAGAUGGAGAGCAUAACAGAGGGAAGGUUGGAGAAUCUUGAAAUCACUGUGGAAGGGAUUAAGGCGGAGACCACUGUGAUACGACGUGACAUGAAGCAAAUGAUGCGACUCAUGGGGGGAGGAACGAACAAUCAAGAUGGAAACUCUGACUGAAGCAGUAAUUCAGUGAACGAUAAUCACGAUAGACAUGAUCAUGGGGGCAUCCAGCAAAAUUGGCAGAAACGAGUAGACCUACCGGCGUUUGAGGGAAUGGAACCGCAGAGCUGGAUUAAUAGGACGGAACGUUUCUUCGACAUCCAGAAGGUAGCGGAGGAGGACAAGGUGGAGCUCGCCUAUAUCGGCAUGGAAGGUAGUGUGAGUUACUAGUUUAAAGUCUGGAAAGAUAAAGCGAAGGACUGCUCAUGGUCUGGUCUGAAAACGGCGUUGUUGAAUCGGUUCGGAGGGGGUUUCAGAGGGGCUGUGUUUGAACAGCUGGCGACGCUACGACAAGAUGGAACGGUGGAGGGGUAUGUCAAAAAUUUUGAAAUUUUGCUGGGGCAAACCCAGGGAUUGGCGGAAGAAUUAGCGUUGGGGUUUUUCCUCGCGGGGCUACGAGAAGACCUUAAGGGACAGGUUCAUAUCCAAGAUCCCCAAGAAUUCAUGGUGGCGGUGAGAAUUGCGCGGGACGUGGAAGAUGCAAUGUUUCGAGCGCGAGGAGGGGUUUGGAAUGGCUUUAGGCCGAAUCCCACGAGUAUGCGAGUCUCGUCGACAGUCGUCCGAGGGGAAACCGAUCGGUUAUCGGUGAAUCGGUCAGGCAGAACGGAGGGAAAUGGCACAAACAGGAAAGAAGGGUCGACGACAGCCAGUAGCGUGAGGGGCAGUACGAUCGGAGGAGGUGAUAACAAAGCAAGGACCGUACGCAACUUACCUUACCCCAAAUAUCUGAAAAGGAGGGAAGAAGGACGCUACUUCUAAUGUGGGGGUCCAUUUGCUCCGGUCCAUCGUUGUUCAGAGAGGAGCCUGCGAGUACUGUUGCUGGCAGAGGAUGAGGAGGACGGCAGAGACGAGGGAACUAGUCUAGAAUCCAAACCUAUGGAUGGGAAAGAGGCAGUGGAUUUGACAGAUGCACAGAGGGCAGAGAUGGAGUUGAUUCUGCAGGCGCACUAUCGAGUUUUUCGAGAGGUGCAAGGGUUACCACCGCUUCGUGAAAUGGUGCACCGAAUACCAUUGAAAGAAGGGGAAAAUCCAGUGAAUGUCCGCCCCUAUCUUUACCCACAUCAUUUAAAAGGAGAAAUUGAGAGGCAAGUGGCUGAUAUGCUUAGUGCGAGAAUAAUCCGAACCAGUUCGAGUCCGUAUUCCAGUCCGGUGAUACUGGUAUGGAAGAAAGAGAAGAGUUGGCGUUUUUGCGUGGAUUAUCGGGCGUUAAAGGGCGACCAUUCUGGACAAAUUUCCUAUCCCUGUUAUCGAAGAGCUCCUGGACGGGUUGAGAGGGGCUGCAUAUUUUUCAAAGAUCGAUCUUAAAGCAGGCUAUCAUCAUAUUAGAAUUGGGGAGGAGGACGUACACAAAACAACAUUUAGGACUCACCAGGGCCACUACGAGUUUCUAGUGCUGCCCUUCGGUCUCACGAAUGCACCGUCUACAUUCCAGAUGCGAUGAAUGACCUUUUACAACGGUAUUUAAGAAAAUUUGUAUUGGUCUUCGAUGAAAUUUUAGUUUACAGUGCCAGUUGGGAAGAGCAUCUUGGGCAUGUAAAUCGGGUGUUGGAAGUGUUAGAAAGGAGCGACUGGAUAGCCAACAAAAAAAAAAUGUGAAUUUGGGAAAAGGAAGAUAGCAUACCUGGGGCAUAAAAUUUCAGAAGUCGAAGUUGAAAUGGAUGGGGACAAGAUCAAGGCGGUUGUAGAAUGGGAAGAACCGAAGACCCUCAAAGCCUUAAGGGGUUUCCUAGGUUUAACAAGGUAUUACAGGAGGUUUGUGAGGGGAUAUGGUAAGAUAGCCAAGUCAUUGACAGAAUUGCUGAAGAAUGGCAAAUUUUUAUGGUCAGAUCAAGCUAGACAUGCCAUGGCAGAGCUGAAAAAGGCGGUCACCACUGCGUCAGUCUUAACUUUACCUGAUUUUAGUCAGGUGUUCCACGUGGAAUGCGAUGCUUCAGGAGGGGGAAUAGGGGUUGUACUGACUCAAAGCAAGAAACCAAUUGCGUUUUUCAGCAAGGCACUGUCGGAAACCUCCAUGAACAAGUCGAUAUACGAAAAGGAGUUAAUGAUGUUGGUUUGGCCAUCCAACAUUGGAGACCUUAUCUAUUGGGGAGGAAGUUUGUGGUGCAUACUGACCAACACAGUUUAAAAUACCUGCUUGAGCAAAGAAUCACCACAUACAGCCAACAAAACUGGAUAGCCAAGUUGAUGGGCUAUGACUUUGAAAUCAUGUACAAAAAAGGGAGUUCCAACACGGUGGCUGAUGCUUUAUCAAGGAAGGGAGAAGGAGAUUCCGAGGAAGCAAAGUUACGGGUAAUGCCCAAGUCUUAUUGGCAGGACUUCCAGGAGGUGUUACAGGAGGUGGAAAGGGGUGAAACGUUGAGGAAGAUAAUAGUUGACAUUAAAAGGGAUCCAAACUGUCACGCAGCAUAUACUUUGGAAAAUAACAGACUACACCACAAGGGGAGACUAGUAAUAUUAGCCACAUCUACUUGGAUUCCCAAAUUAUUGGCUGAAUUUCACGUGACGAGCACAGGUGGGCACUCAUGGGUAUUUAGAACAUACAAGAGAAUAGCCCAAUCUCUUUAUUGGGUGGGCAUGAAGAAAGUCGUCACCGACUUUGUAGCAGGAUGCGUAAUUUGUCAGCAGCACAAGUAUAUGGCAGCCUCGCCCAAGGUCUGUUGCAACCUUUACCGAUACCGCAAGCAAUAUGGGAGGAGAUCAGCAUGGACUUCAUUGUGAAGUUACCCAAAUCCCAGGGUUAUGAUGCCAUUUUGGUUGUGGUGGAUAGGCUGAGCAAAUACGCACAUUUUAUGGCACUUAGACAUCCUUACUCGGCUAGAACAGUAGCGGAGGUAUUUACCCGAGAGGUGGUCAGAUUACAUGGAAUUCCUGUCUCGAUCGUGAGUGACCGAGACCCCGUGUUUCUGAGUAUAUUUUGGAAGGAGCUCUUUAGAAUGCAAGGUACUCAGCUCAAUAUGAGCACUGUAUACCACCCGGCGACGGAUGGACAAACAGAGGUGAUCAAUCGUAUUUUGGAGGGAUAUUUGAGAUGUUUUUGCUCCAAACAGCCCAAAAGUUGGCAUGGAGUGUUACCAUGGGCUGAGUAUUGGUACAACACAAGUUACCAGGGAGCCGCAAGGUGUAUGCCGUUUGAAACGGUCUAUUGUAGAACCCCUCCGUCCUUGAGCAGAUUUGUACUAGGGGAGUCAGCGGUGGAAGUAGUCGCACAACAUCUAAUGACAAGGGAUGAGGCCUUGAAGCAACUGAAAUUUCAUCGUCGUGCCCAUGAUUUAAUGGUGAACCAGGUGAACAGGAAGAGAAGAGACGUGGACAUUGGAGUAGGGGACUGGGUCUACUUGAAGAUUAGACCCCAUAAGCAAUCAUCUAUACCAGUUCGAUUACAUCCCAAACUGGCAGCCCAAUACUUUGGCCCGUUCCAGGUAAUACAGCAGGUGGGCCCGGUGGCAUACCGUCUACAGCUGCCAGAAAAUGCACGGAUACAUGCAGUCUUUCAUGUAUCACAACUUAAAAAGGCGGUGGGAACAAAGAAGAUUGAGAAGGACCUACUAGCCGAGCUACAAGCAGAAGGGCCGACAUAUUGGCCAGUGGGAGUGUUGGAGAGAAGGCAACGGCAACAAGGGAAUGAGACAAUACAGUAGAUCUUGGUUCAAUGGCAAGAGGGCGGCAGAGAAAGGGCUACGUGGGAAGACGAGUUGACUAUCCAAGAUCCAUAUCCUGAAUUUAACUUCAACCUUGGGGACAAGAUUGCUGAAAAAGGGCGGGGGGUAAUGUUAGGAAGUUACGGGUAUGAGAGGAGAAAGAGGAGUUAGUUAGCCUAACUGCUGUAGCAGUUAGGAGAGGCAGGAUAAGUGGUAUAAAAGAGUCGAGUAAUUGUUUAGGAAGGCAGUUAGUUGUUUUGUUAGUUUGUACAGGACGUAUUAUUCCUGUAAGGGGGAGGUUAAGCUCUCUUGCUGUCUACAAACAUUGUAUUCUUUGUUGUGCAUAAUACUACGAGAGGUUAUACAGAGGUUUCUGGUGUGUUUAUGCGUGUGUUGCUUUAGGUUUCUU
RNAcentral lists this long non-coding RNA (4579 nucleotides) under Vigna radiata. Its description in RNAcentral is "long non-coding RNA (VRAD_LNC016034)". Lineage: Eukaryota; Viridiplantae; Streptophyta; Magnoliopsida; Fabales; Fabaceae. The record is from RNAcentral.